This 143-nucleotide ribosomal RNA is filed under the name uncultured haloarchaeon. RNAcentral's name for it is "partial 16S ribosomal RNA". The record is from RNAcentral. Lineage: Archaea; Methanobacteriati; Methanobacteriota; Halobacteria; Halobacteriales; Halobacteriaceae.
CAACGAGCGUUUUAGGCGGACAACCAGCCAUUUAGGCCCCAAAGGAGCGGGUUAACCCCGGGCCAACAUGGGCGGGCCCAUGGGGUUCCACCCCCAAAGGGGGCCCUUAUCCCCCAAACCUGGUCGUAAUUCCGAAUGGGGGG